GACGAGGGGUCCAAGCGUUGUUCGGAAUCAUUGGGCGUAAAGCGGGUGUAGGCGGCUCUAUAAGUCAGGAGUGAAAGCCCCGAGCUUAACUUGGGAAGUGCUUUUGAUACUGCAGAGCUUGAAUGUGGGAGAGGUUAGUGGAAUUCAGGUGUAGUGGUGAAAUACGUAGAUAUCUGGAGGAACACCGGUGGCGAAGGCGGCUAACUGGCCCAACAUUGACGCUGAGACCCGAAAGCAUGGGGAUCAAACAGG
RNAcentral lists this ribosomal RNA (252 nucleotides) under uncultured bacterium. Its description in RNAcentral is "partial 16S ribosomal RNA". It matches the Rfam family "Bacterial small subunit ribosomal RNA", at positions 524 to 776 of the family's 1533-position model. The record is from RNAcentral.